UACGGGGGGGGCAAGCGUUGUUCGGAAUUACUGGGCGUAAAGGGCUCGUAGGCGGCCAACUAAGUCAGACGUGAAAUCCCUCGGCUUAACCGGGGAACUGCGUCUGAUACUGGAUGGCUUGAGUGUGGGAGAGGGAUGCGGAAUUCCGGGUGUAGCGGUGAAAUGCGUAGAUAUCUGGAGGAACACCGGUGGCGAAGGCGGCUCUCUGGACGAUGACUGACGCUGAGACGCGAAAGCGUGGGGAGCAAACAGG
RNAcentral lists this ribosomal RNA (253 nucleotides) under uncultured bacterium. RNAcentral describes it as "partial 16S ribosomal RNA". It matches the Rfam family "Bacterial small subunit ribosomal RNA", at positions 524 to 776 of the family's 1533-position model. The record is from RNAcentral.